Molecule: ribosomal RNA, 492 nt
Filed under: uncultured bacterium
Lineage: Bacteria
Description: partial 16S ribosomal RNA
Rfam family: Bacterial small subunit ribosomal RNA
Source: RNAcentral
AGUGAACGCUGGCGGUAGGCCUAACACAUGCAAGUCGAACGGCAGCACAGUAAUAGCUUGCUCUUACGGGUGGCGAGUGGCGGACGGGUGAGGAAUACAUCGGAAUCUACUUUUUCGUGGGGGAUAACGUAGGGAAACUUACGCUAAUACCGCAUACGACCUACGGGGGAAAGCAGGGGAUCCUCGGACCUUGCGCGAUUGAAUGAGCCGAUGUCGGAUUAGCUAGUUGGCGGGGUAAAGGCCCACCAAGGCGACGAUCCGUAGCUGGUCUGAGAGGAUGAUCAGCCACACUGGAACUGAGACACGGUCCAGACUCCUACGGGAGGCAGCAGUGGGGAAUAUUGGACAAUGGGCGCAAGCCUGAUCCAGCCAUGCCGCGUGGGUGAAGAAGGCCUUCGGGUUGUAAAGCCCUUUUGUUGGGAAAGAAAAGCAGCAGGUUAAUACCCCGCUGUUCUGACGGUACCCAAAGAAUAAGCACCGGCUAACUUCGUG